This 309-nucleotide unclassified non-coding RNA is filed under the name Hevea brasiliensis (rubber tree). Lineage: Eukaryota; Viridiplantae; Streptophyta; Magnoliopsida; Malpighiales; Euphorbiaceae. The record is from RNAcentral.
AGAAGACUUUACCUCCUUCUGUAUGGAAAGGCAUAUGGAUCUCCUAGUGGGAAGGCUGUCUGGCAUUUUCCUGAAAAGAUUUAUGAGGCUGAGGAGACAUUGCGCAAGUGUGCAGAGUCUGCAUUACAGUCUGUCUUAGGGAACCUUUCACACACUUAUUUUGUUGGAAAUGCUCCUAUGGGUCACAUGAUCAUACAGCCAACAGAUAAUGCACCAGAUGCUGGUUAUAAGCAAUUCUUCUUUAAGUCCCAGGUGAUUGCGACAAACAAGUUUAAAAUUGGGAAGUGUGAGGAUUUUGUUUGGGUGACU